CGUGGUCACUCCUACGGGAGGCAGCAGUGGGGAAUCUUGGACAAUGGGGGCAACCCUGAUCCAGCCAUGCCGCGUGAGUGAUGAAGGCCUUAGGGUCGUAAAGCUCUUUCGCCUGUGAUGAUAAUGACAGUAGCAGGUAAAGAAACCCCGGCUAACUCCGUGCCAGCAGCCGCGGUAAUACGGAGGGGGUUAGCGUUGUUCGGAAUUACUGGGCGUAAAGCGCGCGUAGGCGGAUUAGUCAGUUAGAGGUGAAAUCCCAGGGCUCAACCCUGGAACUGCCUUUAAUACUGCUAGUCUUGAGUUCGAGAGAGGUGAGUGGAAUUCCGAGUGUAGAGGUGAAAUUCGUAGAUAUUCGGAGGAACACCAGUGGCGAAGGCGGCUCACUGGCUCGAUACUGACGCUGAGGUGCGAAAGUGUGGGGAGCAAACAGGAUUAGAUACCCUGGUAG
This 448-nucleotide ribosomal RNA is filed under the name uncultured bacterium. Its description in RNAcentral is "bacterial SSU rRNA". It matches the Rfam family "Bacterial small subunit ribosomal RNA", at positions 328 to 793 of the family's 1533-position model. The record is from RNAcentral.